UAGAAAAUAACAAAAAAAAAGCAAAAAUAUUUUAUUUUCUCUGUAAUCAUAUACAAUAAAGCAAACUCGGUCCUUAUUGAACACUGGCUAUUUUAUUAAUGCGCAUCAAUUUGAAAAAAAUGGUAUGUUAGCAGCGUUCGCUACGCCGCGAUGCAUUUGCCACACAAAAGAUGGUAAUUAUUUAGACUUGCUAGACUCCAAAAAAUAUUUUAUUUACAGUGCAUCAAAUACGACUUGAACUUCAAUGAUAGAUUCUAUUACUUCAAUGAGAAUUAUUUUCAUCUCCUAUUAUUCAGUUGCCUACACGCUGCAAUAUAACAACGCACUGCUUUUCAACGCUAUUCACUCAUAAGAAACUGCACAACCCAAAUGAAUAUUAAAAGUCAUCUGAAACCAUAAUUUAACGAAUUAUCGUAAUAUUUGAAAUGGUUCGUAAACAUUGUUACGUUAAAGUACCUUUCAAAAGUUACAUUCUACGCUAUAUUUUGCGUUUUAACUAAAGGGGAGUUUGUAAAAAUUUAAUUGACAUUACAUAGGCUUUAAAUAGCAAAAAAAGGACAUAAAUGAAUUUUAAAUUUUUGCUACAAAUACUGUAAAAACGUACAGUAGAGUUGAGGUAAGAACGUAUCAGACAAAUGCAUUACUCAAAUUAUUUCUAGUUCCCCAUUUGAACAAGCAACUUCAUACAAAAAGUUGGGUUGUUGAGCAGUGUAUAGACCCACUGGGUUAUCAGCAUUUUCGCGAAUAGCUUUGGCACGAGUGGGAUGAACGUGCUUUCUUUCUCCCACCUUGGUUGCACUAUCAAUUAACAACUGAAUUUGGCAUGAUCGCUCCAUCAAUGAAAGAAGAUAUGCUGCCUCAUCCACAGUAGUACCAACUGUCAUAAUGCCAUGAUUCUGAACAAGAACAGCUUUAUAAUCUGCUAAUCCUUUAGCGGUACGUCUUCCUUCUUCUGGCAUCGAUAUCACAUCAUCCAUGUCAAAAUAAAUUCCAUGAUUAUUAUAAAACACACAACAGUCUGUGUUCAACAUAUCCAAUGGCUUUCCCAAAGCUGAAAAUGCCUUACCGUAAAUUGAGUGUACGUGACAAACACAAAUUACCUCAGGUCGCACUUUGUGCAUUUCAUAAUGGAUGGCAAAUCCCGAAGUAUUAUACUUCAUCUUGCUUCCACCAAUGAUUUCGCCAUCGCUGUUGAUAUGAACCAAAUCGCUAGGCUUCAUCAAGGAAAAGGGGACUUCCAAAGGAUUUAUCCAAAAAGUAUUCUCAUCAAUUGGAUCCCUUACAGUAACAUGUCCUGCUGUUCCUUCAUUAUAUCCAUUUCUACCAAACAUGCGAAAAGCUGCAGCCAUAUGAUUAAGCAUCCAUUUUCUUUUAGUAUGUAAGUCUUCAAAUUCAGGCAAUCCAGUUACUUUAGCCAUUUUGUAUUAAAAAAAAAUA
This is a non-coding RNA of Schizosaccharomyces pombe (fission yeast), 1437 nucleotides long. The record is from the annotation of a GenBank genome assembly. Lineage: Eukaryota; Fungi; Ascomycota; Schizosaccharomycetes; Schizosaccharomycetales; Schizosaccharomycetaceae.